AGAGUUUGAUCCUGGCUCAGAUUGAACGCUGGCGGCGUGCUUAACACAUGCAAGUCGAGCGGUAACAGGUGUAGCAAUACAUGCUGACGAGCGGCGAACGGGUGAGUAAUGCUUCGGAAUCUACCUUGUAGUGGGGAAUAACCUGGGGAAACUCAGGCUAAUACCGCAUACGUCUUUCGAGAGAAAGCGGGGGAUCGCAAGACCUCGCGCUACAAGAUGAGCCGAAGUCGGAUUAGCUAGUUGGUAGGGUAACGGCCUACCAAGGCGACAAUCCGUAGCUGGUCUGAGAGGACGACCAGCCACACUGGGACUGAGGCACGGCCCAGACUCCUACGGGAGGCAGCAGUGGGGAAUAUUGGACAAUGGGGGAAACCUUGAUCCAGCGACGCCGCGUGUGUGAAGAAGGCCUGCGGGUUGUAAAGCACUUUUAGUGGGGAUGAAACGCUCAGACCUAACACGUCUGGGAAUUGACCUAACCCAAAGAAAAAGCACCGGCUAACUCUGUGCCAGCAGCCGCGGUAAUACAGAGGGUGCAAGCGUUAAUCGGAAUUACUGGGCGUAAAGCGUGCGUAGUCGGUUAUCUAAGUCGGGUGUGAAAUCCCCGGGCUCAACCUGGGAAUUGCAUUCGAUACUGGAUAGCUAGAGUUCGGCAGAGGGAAGUGGAAUUUCCGGUGUAGCGGUGAAAUGCGUAGAUAUCGGAAGGAACAUCAGUGGCGAAAGCGACUUCCUGGACCAGAACUGACGAUCAGGCACGAAAGCGUGGGGAGCAAACAGGAUUAGAUACCCUGUAGUCCACGCCAUAAACGAUGACAACUAGACGUUGGGGGGGUAAGCCUCUCAGUGUCGCAGCUAACGCGUUAAGUUGUCCGCCUGGGGAGUACGGCCGCAAGGUUGAAACUCAAAGGAAUUGACGGGGACCCGCACAAGCGGUGGAGCAUGUGGUUUAAUUCGAUGCAACGCGAAGAACCUUACCUGGCCUU
Molecule: ribosomal RNA, 980 nt
Filed under: uncultured bacterium
Lineage: Bacteria
Description: bacterial SSU rRNA
Rfam family: Bacterial small subunit ribosomal RNA
Source: RNAcentral